GUGUUUCAGCUUGGCCUAAUCCAAAAUUAUAUAUGACUGUGUACACUGUUACACUGAACUGAAUUAAACAAUAAAAAAACUGUUCUUUUUUAUUCAGCAGUUAAUAAAGAAAUGUGGCUCUGUAGUGGACACCUGUGAGGCAGUGGACAGACAGCUGCUGAUGUCUGAUGCUGGCUGACAAUAAACAGACCUGGAAAUACCCCAUCUUUUGCAGAGAAAUUAUAACAUUGCCCUUCCUGUAACAUGAAGAUCCUGCUGUCCUGGACUGUAUAUGAUGAGGUAAUCUAAUCUCAGAACAGCUGUGGUAAUAACAGGAGACCCAUUUGGUGAGAGCAGCACUGCAGACUUUCCUGAUGGAGGAGAUCAUGGACCAUUUUCACAAGACUGAUGAUGUGUUUCAGCUGUGUUUUCAUCGUAAAUCCUCACAAUGUUUGUAUAUUUUUAUUUUAAAAAAUGAUGUGCAUUUAUUACUCUAUACUUUGUAUUAUAUCACAUUCAUAUCAAAUUACAGAAAAAAAUAGUUAAUGCUAAUGCAAGGGUGUUUCUAAUCCAGAGUCUUUGGGAGGAAUGCUAAAUUUGACAUUGUUCUCUCUUCUGACUGCUGUUAUCAGUGUGUCAGAUUUUUUUCUUUGA
Carassius carassius (crucian carp) is the source of this 633-nucleotide long non-coding RNA. RefSeq lists it as uncharacterized. The transcript has 4 exons. Lineage: Eukaryota; Metazoa; Chordata; Actinopteri; Cypriniformes; Cyprinidae. The record is from RefSeq and is a predicted model, not a curated record.